GACGAACGCUGGCGGCGUGCUUUACACAUGCAAGUCGAACGGAAAGGCCCUGCUUUUGUGGGGUGCUCGAGUGGCGAACGGGUGAGUAACACGUGAGUAACCUGCCCUUGACGUUGGGAUAACUUCAGGAAACUGGGGCUAAUACCGGAUAGGAGCUCCUGCUGCAUGGUGGGGGUUGGAAAGUUUCGGCGGUUGGGGAUGGACUCGCGGCUUAUCAGCUUGUUGGUGGGGUAGUGGCUUACCAAGGCUUUGACGGGUAGCCGGCAGGAGAGGGUGACCGGCCACAUUGGGACUGAGGUACGGCCCAGACUCCUACGGGAGGCAGAAGUGGGGAAUAUUGCACAAUGGGCGGAAGCGUGAUGCAGCAACGCCGCGUGCGGGAUGACGGCCUUCGGGUUGUAAACCGCUUUCGCCUGUGACGAAGCGUGAGUGACGGUAAUGGGUAAAGAAGCACCGGCUAACUACGUG
This 468-nucleotide ribosomal RNA is filed under the name uncultured bacterium. RNAcentral's name for it is "partial 16S ribosomal RNA". It matches the Rfam family "Bacterial small subunit ribosomal RNA", at positions 28 to 507 of the family's 1533-position model. The record is from RNAcentral.